AAUGUGUGAAUUUUUUAUACAUUUAGCAAUUCAAUUAAUUAAUUUUUUGGAGGUUUUCUCUCAUGCAACAAGGUACAGUAAAAUGGUUUAACUCAGAAAAAGGUUUCGGUUUCAUCGAAGUUGAAGGCGGUAACGAUGUAUUCGUACACUUCUCAGCUAUCCAAGGCGAAGGUUUCAAAACUUUAGACGAAGGUCAAAAAGUUGAAUUCGACGUUGAAGAAGGCAACCGUGGCCCACAAGCUACUAACGUAACAAAACUUUAAUUCUAACGAAUUAAGUUCACAUAGUUAGUUGCAAGAAGCAUACUCUAUCGGGUAUGCUUCUUUU
RNAcentral lists this non-coding RNA (327 nucleotides) under Solibacillus silvestris StLB046. Its description in RNAcentral is "cspA thermoregulator". It matches the Rfam family "cspA thermoregulator", at positions 92 to 428 of the family's 428-position model. Lineage: Bacteria; Bacillati; Bacillota; Bacilli; Caryophanales; Caryophanaceae. The record is from Rfam by way of RNAcentral.